Molecule: small nuclear RNA, 19 nt
Filed under: Arabidopsis thaliana (thale cress)
Lineage: Eukaryota; Viridiplantae; Streptophyta; Magnoliopsida; Brassicales; Brassicaceae
Description: snRNA_01140
Source: RNAcentral
CCCUCGCGGGUGCACCGCC